UAUCUGAGUGUUUGAUUGAGGAAGGAAAUUGGACCUGUUGGAAUGGAACACAUGCGGACCGGUGGUGCAGCUCUGAAUCGGUCAUGGAGGUGACAGUUCUAAUCUGCUUUUCUUGUUAACACCCAGAUGGAGAGGGAGAGAGAGAGGAAGGACAGGCUGUGACCAGAUUCGUGAAAGAGUCGGGGCCAAGGAUGGACUGAAUUUGUGCUUGUGUGGGGGGAGCAGUGCCAUCCUCUCUCGGCCUGGGAGGCGGGUGUCCCAGCAGGACUCGGCACGCCAGCAUCUGCAGAGAGGCUGCGUCUCUUAACAUCACUCUUAGCCCUUCACUUUCUUCAGCAAUCGACAUCUUUACUUAGAAAGCUGAGUGCCUCGAAGAGUCCUCCACCGGAUUGGAGACAGCUGGGAGGCCACAGCUCCACCUCAGGUCAUCAGGCAUUAGAUCCCAGAGGCUGGGGACCCCUGUCACAGAGGAAAACAUAUCAUGAGCAACAGGCCCAACGCAGAAGUGCAUCAUUUAGUGGUUCAGGAGCGUUAAGUGCUGUGAAAGAACAGAGGAAAACCAGAGUGCAUAGGGACAGCAGGAGAGCUGGGGGCAGAGCUGGAAGACAAGGGACAAGCUGGCACCUCCAAUAAGAAUUCUAAGUCUUUUCAAGACCGAAUGGACCACAGAGGAGAGGCACUGGGUAGAAAACUCAACAGGUGAUAUUUGAAGACCUCUACUUAUAGCCUGGGUCAUCCCCCUGGAAGCUGAAGAUCCUGUUCUCAAAGCCUUUUAAUUGCUUGGCUAAAGACUGAACACGUACCUUGUUCCCCACCAAAGCCGCUGCCUGGCAGAACAUUCCAGGGCACAGGCUCUUGCAUUCUCCAGUCUGGAAGCUUCUGCUUCCACGGCCUGACAGAGUGAGCCGGACCAGGCCAUCAUGUUCAUGGUUCCAGCCCUACUAAGACUGGGCUCCAACAGCUGGGCCCUGCAGAGAGGGCGAUGGAAGGAAGACCCUAGCACAGGCCAGAAGGAGGCCCUGGGCUGUCACGGGUGCCACUGGUCUGGCCCCUGCACUUCCAAAGGAGCUGUUCUUGCCAAACUCCAAGCCCCCUCCCUAGGAGGCAUGCUGGCAAUGGUGGGCCAUGGCUUACAGUUGCUUAAAAAACGAAAGGGAGCACAGUUUACUCGGGAACCAACUGAUGUUCCCUAGGCCUGGAAGAGUUGAAAUGAGGAGAGCUCCACUAAGAAACAGCACUAAGAUUAUUUUAGCAGAUGGUAACCUUUAGUGAUUUUUAAUCAAACAAUGUAUUUGAUCAUGUGUGCCUAAACCACCAUACGUGUAUUACUUUAAAAGUAAAAUGGUAAAUGC
This is a long non-coding RNA of Bos taurus (domestic cattle), 1352 nucleotides long. The record is from Ensembl. NCBI's taxonomy places the organism in Eukaryota, Metazoa, Chordata, Mammalia, Artiodactyla, Bovidae.